CCUACGGGAGGCAGCAGUGGGGAAUAUUGGGCAAUGGACGCAAGUCUGACCCAGCAACGCCGCGUGAAGGAAGAAGGCUCUCGGGUUGUAAACCUCCUUUUAGGGGGAAGAGCAGAAGACGGUACCCCUUGAAUAAGCCAUGGCUAACUACGUGCCAGCAGCUGCGGGAAUACGUAGGUGGCAAGUGUUGCCCGGAUUUACUGGGUGUAAAGGGCGUGUAGGCGGAUAGACAAGUCAGAUGUGAAAUCCACGGGCUCAACCCGUGAACUGCAUUUGAAACUGUUUCCCUUGAGUGUCGGAGAGGUAAUCGGAAUUCGUUGUGUAGCGGUGAAAUGCGUAGAUAUAAGGAAGAACACCGGUGGCGAAGGCGGAUUACUGGACGAUAACUGACGGUGAGGCGCGAAAGCGUGGGGAGCAAACAGGAUUAGAUACCCCUGUAGUC
RNAcentral lists this ribosomal RNA (442 nucleotides) under uncultured bacterium. RNAcentral describes it as "partial 16S ribosomal RNA". It matches the Rfam family "Bacterial small subunit ribosomal RNA", at positions 338 to 795 of the family's 1533-position model. The record is from RNAcentral.